GCUUGCUUUGGUAAACAUGUACACUAAAAUUGGAAUGACCCAAAGACUAGCAUUGAUACUGCUCAAGGAUGACACACAAAUUUAUGAAGUGUUCCAUACUAUU
Molecule: small nuclear RNA, 103 nt
Organism: Psammomys obesus (fat sand rat)
Lineage: Eukaryota; Metazoa; Chordata; Mammalia; Rodentia; Muridae
Source: RefSeq, a predicted model, not a curated record